AGUGAACGCUGGCGGUAGGCCUAACACAUGCAAGUCGAACGGCAGCACAGUAAGAGCUUGCUCUUACGGGUGGCGAGUGGCGGACGGGUGAGGAAUACAUCGGAAUCUACUCUGUCGUGGGGGAUAACGUAGGGAAACUUACGCUAAUACCGCAUACGACCUACGGGUGAAAGCAGGGGAUCUUCGGACCUUGCGCGAUUGAAUGAGCCGAUGUCGGAUUAGCUAGUUGGCGGGGUAAAGGCCCACCAAGGCGACGAUCCGUAGCUGGUCUGAGAGGAUGAUCAGCCACACUGGAACUGAGACACGGUCCAGACUCCUACGGGUGGCUG
RNAcentral lists this ribosomal RNA (329 nucleotides) under uncultured Pseudomonadota bacterium. Its description in RNAcentral is "bacterial SSU rRNA". It matches the Rfam family "Bacterial small subunit ribosomal RNA", at positions 29 to 351 of the family's 1533-position model. Lineage: Bacteria; Pseudomonadati; Pseudomonadota. The record is from RNAcentral.